RNAcentral lists this ribosomal RNA (375 nucleotides) under uncultured bacterium. RNAcentral describes it as "bacterial SSU rRNA". It matches the Rfam family "Bacterial small subunit ribosomal RNA", at positions 434 to 793 of the family's 1533-position model. The record is from RNAcentral.
CAGUCGUGAGGAAGGUAGUGUAGUUAAUAGCUGCAUUAUUUGACGUUUAGCGACAGAAGAAGCACCGGCUAACUCCGUGCCAGCAGCCGCGGUAAUACGGAGGGUGCGAGCGUUAAUCGGAAUUACUGGGCGUAAAGCGCAUGCAGGUGGUUUGGUUUAAGUUCAGAUGUGAAAGACCCGGGGCGUCAACCUCGGAAUAGCAUUUGUAAACUAGGCAGACUAGAGUACUGUAGAGGGGGGUAGGAAGUUUCAGGUGUAGCGGUGAAAUGCGUAGAGAUCUGAAGGAAUACCGGUGGCGAAGGCGGCCCCCUCGGACAGAUACUGACACUCAGAUGCGAAAGCGUGGGGAGCAAACAGGAUUAGAUACCCUGGUAG